RNAcentral lists this ribosomal RNA (1341 nucleotides) under uncultured bacterium. Its description in RNAcentral is "16S ribosomal RNA". It matches the Rfam family "Bacterial small subunit ribosomal RNA", at positions 28 to 1381 of the family's 1533-position model. The record is from RNAcentral.
GACGAACGCUGGCGGCGUGCUUAACACAUGCAAGUCGAACGGUAAGGCUCCAGCUUGCUGGGGUACACGAGUGGCGAACGGGUGAGUAACACGUGGGUGACCUGCCCUGCACUUCGGGAUAAGCCUGGGAAACUGGGUCUAAUACCGGAUAGGACCGCACCGUGAGGGUGUGGUGGAAAGUUUUUUCGGUGUGGGAUGGGCCCGCGGCCUAUCAGCUUGUUGGUGGGGUAAUGGCCUACCAAGGCGGCGACGGGUAGCCGGCCUGAGAGGGUGGACGGCCACAUUGGGACUGAGACACGGCCCAGACUCCUACGGGAGGCAGCAGUGGGGAAUAUUGCACAAUGGGCGGAAGCCUGAUGCAGCGACGCCGCGUGGGGGAUGACGGCCUUCGGGUUGUAAACUCCUUUCACCAUCGACGAAGGGUUUCUGACGGUAGAUGGAGAAGAAGCACCGGCUAACUACGUGCCAGCAGCCGCGGUAAUACGUAGGGUGCGAGCGUUGUCCGGAAUUACUGGGCGUAAAGAGCUCGUAGGUGGUUUGUCGCGUCGUCUGUGAAAUUCCGGGGCUUAACUCCGGGCGUGCAGGCGAUACGGGCAUAACUUGAGUACUGUAGGGGAGACUGGAAUUCCUGGUGUAGCGGUGAAAUGCGCAGAUAUCAGGAGGAACACCGGUGGCGAAGGCGGGUCUCUGGGCAGUAACUGACGCUGAGGAGCGAAAGCAUGGGGAGCGAACAGGAUUAGAUACCCUGGUAGUCCAUGCCGUAAACGGUGGGCGCUAGGUGUGGGUUUCCUUCCACGGGAUCCGUGCCGUAGCUAACGCAUUAAGCGCCCCGCCUGGGGAGUACGGCCGCAAGGCUAAAACUCAAAGGAAUUGACGGGGGCCCGCACAAGCGGCGGAGCAUGUGGAUUAAUUCGAUGCAACGCGAAGAACCUUACCUGGGCUUGACAUAUACAGGAUCGCGCCAGAGAUGGUGUUUCCCUUGUGGCUUGUAUACAGGUGGUGCAUGGUUGUCGUCAGCUCGUGUCGUGAGAUGUUGGGUUAAGUCCCGCAACGAGCGCAACCCUUGUCUUAUGUUGCCAGCACGUUGUGGUGGGGACUCGUAAGAAACUGCCGGGGUUAACUCGGAGGAAGGUGGGGAUGACGUCAAAUCAUCAUGCCCCUUAUGUCCAGGGCUUCACACAUGCUACAAUGGUCGGUACAGUGGGUUGCCAGUCCGUGAGGGCGAGCUAAUCCCGCAAAGCCGGUCUCAGUUCGGAUCGGGGUCUGCAACUCGACCCCGUGAAGUCGGAGUCGCUAGUAAUCGCAGAUCAGCAACGCUGCGGUGAAUACGUUCCCGGGCCU